This 72-nucleotide transfer RNA is filed under the name Cricetulus griseus (Chinese hamster). It matches the Rfam family "tRNA". From Rfam's summary of the family: Transfer RNA (tRNA) molecules are approximately 80 nucleotides in length. Their secondary structure includes four short double-helical elements and three loops (D, anti-codon, and T loops). Lineage: Eukaryota; Metazoa; Chordata; Mammalia; Rodentia; Cricetidae. The record is from Rfam by way of RNAcentral.
GGGCAUGCAGCUCAUUGGUAGGGCUCCUGCUUUGCGUGCAGGAGUCCCUGGGUUUGAUUCCCGGCAUCCCCA